This 28-nucleotide small RNA is filed under the name Bombyx mori (domestic silkworm). RNAcentral's name for it is "ovarian small RNA-21213". The record is from RNAcentral. Lineage: Eukaryota; Metazoa; Arthropoda; Insecta; Lepidoptera; Bombycidae.
UACGUUUCGCUUCGAGAGCCGCCAGCUC